Molecule: transfer RNA, 73 nt
Filed under: Canis lupus familiaris (dog)
Lineage: Eukaryota; Metazoa; Chordata; Mammalia; Carnivora; Canidae
Also listed under: 2 other names
Rfam family: tRNA
About the family: Transfer RNA (tRNA) molecules are approximately 80 nucleotides in length. Their secondary structure includes four short double-helical elements and three loops (D, anti-codon, and T loops). Further hydrogen bonds mediate the characteristic L-shaped molecular structure. tRNAs have two regions of fundamental functional importance: the anti-codon, which is responsible for specific mRNA codon recognition, and the 3' end, to which the tRNAs corresponding amino acid is attached (by aminoacyl-tRNA synthetases). tRNAs cope with the degeneracy of the genetic code in two manners: having more than one tRNA (with a specific anti-codon) for a particular amino acid; and 'wobble' base-pairing, i.e. permitting non-standard base-pairing at the 3rd anti-codon position.
Source: Rfam by way of RNAcentral
GCCUGGCUGGCUCAGUCAGCAGAGCAUGUGACUCUUGAUCUCAGGGUCAUGAGUUCAAGCCCCACAUUGGGCA